This 113-nucleotide ribosomal RNA is filed under the name Heterocephalus glaber (naked mole-rat). The record is from RNAcentral. Lineage: Eukaryota; Metazoa; Chordata; Mammalia; Rodentia; Bathyergidae.
GUCUAUGGCCAUACCACCCUGAACGUGCCUGAUCUCGUCUGAUCUCAGAAGCUAAGCAGGGUCGGGCCUGGUUAGUACUUGGAUGGGAGAAUGGAACUCAACAACCAAAGUGG